UUGGUUGUAGUAUAAGCAGUAUUUUUUCCUUCCAAGAAAGUGGUCCACAAUUUGGCAACCAAA
Molecule: transfer RNA, 63 nt
Filed under: Xylophaga washingtona
Lineage: Eukaryota; Metazoa; Mollusca; Bivalvia; Myida; Xylophagaidae
Description: tRNA-Gly
Source: RNAcentral